AGAUGUGUAUAAGAGACAGAGCGCCAGCGAGAGAGCGUUGCCGCAGGCAACGACCCGAAGGGCGAAGCGCGCAGCGCUGAGUAAUCCUUCCCCCACCACCA
RNAcentral lists this small RNA (101 nucleotides) under Shigella sp. RNAcentral's name for it is "partial RtT sRNA". It matches the Rfam family "RtT RNA", at positions 28 to 130 of the family's 130-position model. Rfam says of the family: This family represents a bacterial cis-regulatory element known as RtT RNA. The exact function of RtT is unknown although it is thought that it may be involved in changing the cellular response in relation to amino acid starvation. Lineage: Bacteria; Pseudomonadati; Pseudomonadota; Gammaproteobacteria; Enterobacterales; Enterobacteriaceae. The record is from RNAcentral.